AGAGAGAGGACAAGCUGAGAGCAAAUAUCUCCCAUGUGAAGCUGGGUCUUUGCUCAUGCAAGGCCUAGUCCUGCAAGGUCCUGAGUGCUUUCAACUCCCAGGAUUCUGGAUGGCUAAAACCUCUCAUUGACUGUUGCAGGAUUGAGCUCACAGAGGUUAUAAUAGCCAGAUACAGCACCCUGGGAAGGAAGAGGAGAAAAAUGAGCAAUACAGAAUGCCGAAUCCUGGACUGAACUCAGCUGAAUGCAGAAGGGAUGGAAGAAACAAGAGUCUUUAUUGCAAAGGUACAACCAUAUCUGUAUAGUCCCUGCCCUGGUCAUCCCUUUCAGAAGGGCUGUUAAUCAUCACAGCUUGAAAACCUGCUUAAUACAGCAGUUCUGCAAUGAAGAUACAGCAUUAGCCAAUGGCCCGUGGUCUUUGAAUGAAUAUAUUGCUGCGUCCAUAGCAUUUACUGAUGACACAGCCCAUGCUGGGCUGCAGUGAGAGGAGAGAGAGAGAGACUUGUCAUUUCUUCACAUCCAAAUUCAGAAUCCAGAGAGACGAAGUCUAAAAUUAGAGCACACCACAGACAGCAGCAUCUGAGUAAAUUAAAUUAAUGUCGCUCCAGCAAUGGCCCCGGGGGAGGCUGCAGAU
This is a long non-coding RNA of Mauremys mutica (yellowpond turtle), 633 nucleotides long. RefSeq lists it as uncharacterized. NCBI's taxonomy places the organism in Eukaryota, Metazoa, Chordata, Testudines, Geoemydidae. The transcript is spliced from 3 exons. The record is from RefSeq and is a predicted model, not a curated record.